AGAGUCUUCUUAAUUUUUGUGAAUUUUGGCACAACAAGCUAAAAAGAAAAAUAAGCAGGGGAAUAUCCUGGGAGAUGCACCUCUUCAGAAUCCUCAUCAGGACUUUGGAACAACCAAAGUUGCUGUUUUAAAAUUGAUUAAAUCGCAGACACGCCUACUGAAAUCGUCCAACCUAGUGAAGAAACAGAAUGGGAUUUGGAUUAUAGGGUUUCAGAUAACACCAAGUCCCUUGUGAAAGAGGGAAGUUGUUAACGUUUAAGAAGAGUCUGCAUUCCUGUGAUGAUGAGCUAGAGAGUUCUGAAGACCCCGUGCUUCAGAUGGGUCAGGUCCUGAAGCACAGGCACUACUGAGGAAGAAAUCAGAGGAGGAAGAAAGAGUUAGAAAGCAAAGUGAUAGAAAGGGAAACUUGGGAAGGAAAGAGAGGGAUGAUCCUUUGCCUUCUGGAAUCUGUGAAGGCAGUGUGGGGAAAUAAGAUUAUUUUCCUAAAGAAUUUUUAAUGUUUAUAUAUAUAUAAAUGAUGGU
Mauremys reevesii (Reeves's turtle) is the source of this 522-nucleotide long non-coding RNA. RefSeq lists it as uncharacterized. NCBI's taxonomy places the organism in Eukaryota, Metazoa, Chordata, Testudines, Geoemydidae. The record is from RefSeq and is a predicted model, not a curated record. The transcript has 3 exons.